RNAcentral lists this ribosomal RNA (381 nucleotides) under Escherichia coli. Its description in RNAcentral is "bacterial SSU rRNA". It matches the Rfam family "Bacterial small subunit ribosomal RNA", at positions 248 to 621 of the family's 1533-position model. The record is from RNAcentral. Lineage: Bacteria; Pseudomonadati; Pseudomonadota; Gammaproteobacteria; Enterobacterales; Enterobacteriaceae.
GUAGGUGGGGUAACGGCUCACCUAGGCGACGAUCCCUAGCUGGUCUGAGAGGAUGACCAGCCACACUGGAACUGAGACACGGUCCAGACUCCUACGGGAGGCAGCAGUGGGGAAUAUUGCACAAUGGGCGCAAGCCUGAUGCAGCCAUGCCGCGUGUAUGAAGAAGGCCUUCGGGUUGUAAAGUACUUUCAGCGGGGAGGAAGGGAGUAAAGUUAAUACCUUUGCUCAUUGACGUUACCCGCAGAAGAAGCACCGGCUAACUCCGUGCCAGCAGCCGCGGUAAUACGGAGGGUGCAAGCGUUAAUCGGAAUUACUGGGCGUAAAGCGCACGCAGGCGGUUUGUUAAGUCAGAUGUGAAAUCCCCGGGCUCAACCUGGGAAC